ACACUUUUUUUUUUGAAAGAAAAAAUCUGUUCUUAUCAGUUUAAUACCUGAUUCGUCCUCCAUUUGAGGACUUUAUAUUAAACGGAUUUUUAGAGCGAGGAGCUAGAAGAGGGGCUUGCUCCAUCCGCUCUACUCAUCGACCUGGAAUGGUACACCUUUU
Molecule: small nuclear RNA, 160 nt
Organism: Ictalurus punctatus (channel catfish)
Lineage: Eukaryota; Metazoa; Chordata; Actinopteri; Siluriformes; Ictaluridae
Gene: U2
Rfam family: U2 spliceosomal RNA
About the family: U2 is a small nuclear RNA (snRNA) component of the spliceosome (involved in pre-mRNA splicing). Complementary binding between U2 snRNA (in an area lying towards the 5' end but 3' to hairpin I) and the branchpoint sequence (BPS) of the intron results the bulging out of an unpaired adenosine, on the BPS, which initiates a nucleophilic attack at the intronic 5' splice site, thus starting the first of two transesterification reactions that mediate splicing.
Source: Ensembl